CCCUACGGGAGGCAGCAGUGGGGAAUAUUGCACAAUGGGGGGAACCCUGAUGCAGCGACGCCGCGUGGGUGAAGGAGUAUUUCGGUAUGUAAAGCCCUAUCAGCAGGGAAGAACAAUGACGGUACCUGACUAAGAAGCACCGGCUAAAUACGUGCCAGCAGCCGCGGUAAUACGUAUGGUGCAAGCGUUAUCCGGAUUUACUGGGUGUAAAGGGAGCGCAGGCGGCGCGUUAAGCCUGGUGUGAAAGCCCGCGGCCCAACCGCGGGACUGCAUUUGGAACUGUAUAGCUAGAGUGUCGGAGAGGC
This 305-nucleotide ribosomal RNA is filed under the name uncultured bacterium. RNAcentral's name for it is "bacterial SSU rRNA". It matches the Rfam family "Bacterial small subunit ribosomal RNA", at positions 337 to 658 of the family's 1533-position model. The record is from RNAcentral.